GUCCAAAACUGGUAGUUUAAUCAUAUUUCCCAAACCGCCCUGUCCUGCCUGAGUUCCAAGGACCAUGACCACCAUGACUGUCACAUACCUAGGUGCAGGGGACACAACAGCAAACAAGACACAGAAAAACCUCUGCCCUCUGAGAGCUGGCACUCAGCCAUACCUGUGUGUAUGGAGACGACAUACACGCCCAUGACCCACUAGGUUAAAGUGAAGGGCACUGCAGAGUUGAUUCUGGCAAUUACGUAGGGGUGGGCUGACAAUCUAUGGACUUCGUUUUGGGAUAGUGUGACUCCGCAAUGCUUCCUGUCAAGAGGUGGAUGAAUUACCACGCCCCCACCCCCUGCAACACGACUGGCUUUGGGCAAUCACUGAGCUGGAAGGGACGGCGUGCCUGCUCCGGGGCUUGGCCUCAAGAGUCGUUGCAUGCCUGUGCUCGCUCCCUUCUGGAACCCGGGCGCUGCCAUGUGAACCAGCCCAGGCUAGCCAACCAGAGGAUGAGACACAUGUGGAGCAGAGCCCAGUCGUGCCGGCCCAGCCAGUCGCCAGGCAGGCGACCCCUGAACAGAAGAGAGACGUGACUCAGAGAGGGUGUCCUGGAGGAGACCUCGUCGUGCAGCCUCGAGGGGCAGGACCCGGACGAGGGAGCCUGAGGGACAUCCUAGAGAAGCCCUGGGCUCUGAAUGGAGACUGUGACUUGGGAACUGGCGAACCACCAUCAUCACUGAGGAAAACUCCACGAGAACCAGACUCUCCUAAGGUAAGGGCGUUCAGUGUUUUGGGGACCAUGACCGACAGCAAAGCCACAUUUAACACUACCACCGAGCACACGCACAUGUAAUAGAGCGAAGCCCGGUGCGGGUUUUGUGAAAGAACACUUACCCCGGCUGGGAGGGUCUUGCUUUUAAAUGCUGGCAGCCCCCCAGUAAACUGACCUCAUCACCCACCAAAGCAGUGGGUCUCAAACCUGGCUGAACAUUACAUCCUCCUGAGGAGUUUCUAAAAUACCGAUGCCUGGCCCCCACCCCUAGAAGUUCUCCUGACCGGGUCUGCU
Long non-coding RNA from Mirounga angustirostris (Northern elephant seal), 1054 nucleotides. RefSeq lists it as uncharacterized. NCBI's taxonomy places the organism in Eukaryota, Metazoa, Chordata, Mammalia, Carnivora, Phocidae. The transcript has 4 exons. The record is from RefSeq and is a predicted model, not a curated record.